GACGAACGCUGGCGGCGUGCUUAACACAUGCAAGUCGAACGAUGAAGCGGGUGCUUGCACUCGUGGAUUAGUGGCGAACGGGCGGGUAACACGUGAGUAACCUGUCCUUUUCUUUGGGAUAACGGCUGGAAACGGCUGCUAAUACUGGAUAUUCAGGCUGCAUCGCAUGGUGUGGUUUGGAAAGGUUUUUUCUGGGAUUGGGUGGGCUCGCGGCCUAUCAGCUUGUUGGUGGGGUGAUGGCUUACCAAGGCUUUGACGGGUAGCCGGCCUGAGAGGGUGGUCGGUCGCACUGGGACUGAGAUGCGGCCCAGGGUCCUAAGGGAGGCAGAAGUGGGGAAUAUUGCAGAAUGGACGAAAGUUUGAUGCAGCGACGCCGAGUGGAGGGUGUAGGCCUUCGGGUUGUGAACUCCUUUUUCUCGCGAAAAAGGCACAGUUUUGGCUGUGUUGAUGGUAGUGGGGGAAGAAGCGCCGGCUAACUACGUG
This 483-nucleotide ribosomal RNA is filed under the name uncultured bacterium. Its description in RNAcentral is "partial 16S ribosomal RNA". It matches the Rfam family "Bacterial small subunit ribosomal RNA", at positions 28 to 507 of the family's 1533-position model. The record is from RNAcentral.